RNAcentral lists this ribosomal RNA (494 nucleotides) under uncultured bacterium. Its description in RNAcentral is "partial 16S ribosomal RNA". It matches the Rfam family "Bacterial small subunit ribosomal RNA", at positions 28 to 507 of the family's 1533-position model. The record is from RNAcentral.
GACGAACGCUGGCGGCGUGCUUUAGGCAUGCAGGUCGAACGCGAAAGCCCCUUCGGGGGUGAGUAGAGUGGCGAACGGGUGAGUAACACGUGGGUAACUUGCCCCUCGCCGGGGGAUAACCGGGGGCAACCCCGGCUAAUACCCCGUACGCUUGCUGGGGCGCCUGCUCCGGCAUGGACGGGUAGCUUCGGCCAUCCGGCGAGGGAGGGGCCGGCGGCCCCUUGGCUAGUUGGUGGGGUAGCGGGCCACCAGGGCGGCGAUGGGGAGCUGGCGUGCUGGGGUGGUCGGCCACACUGGGGCUACGGCGCGGCCCAGACGCCUACGGGAGGCAGCAGCCGUGGGGCGUGCGCAAUGGUCGGAAGCCUCACGCAGCAACGCCGCCGGGGCGGUGAAGGCCGUCUGGGCGUAGAGCCCUUUUGUCUGGGACGGAGAGCGAAGUGUUAAUUGCCCCUGGCCUGACGGUACCCGACGAGGAAGCCCCGGCUAACUACGUG